GUGGCUUAGAUACCCCGGUAGUCCACGCCGUAAACGAUGGGCACUAGGUGUAGCGGGUAUUGACCCCUGCUGUGCCGAAGCUAACGCAUUAAGUGCCCCGCCUGGGGAGUACGGCCGCAAGGCUAAAACUCAAAGGAAUUGACGGGGGCCCGCACAAGCGGUGGAGCAUGUGGUUUAAUUCGACGCAACGCGAAGAACCUUACCUGGGCUUGACAUCCCUUGACAGUCUAUGAAAGUAGAUCUUUUCUUCGGAAACAAGGAGACAGGUGCUGCACGGCUGUCGACAGCU
Molecule: ribosomal RNA, 289 nt
Filed under: uncultured bacterium
Lineage: Bacteria
Description: partial 16S ribosomal RNA
Rfam family: Bacterial small subunit ribosomal RNA
Source: RNAcentral